GGGGAAUAUUGCGCAAUGGGGGGAACCCUGACGCAGCCAUGCCGCGUGAAUGAAGAAGGCCUUAGGGUUGUAAAGUUCUUUCGGUAUUGAGGAAGGUUGAUGUGUUAAUAGCACAUCAAAUUGACGUUAAAUACAGAAGAAGCACCGGCUAACUCCGUGCCAGCAGCCGCGGUAAUACGGAGGGUGCGAGCGUUAAUCGGAAUAACUGGGCGUAAAGGGCACGCAGGCGGUUAUUUAAGUGAGGUGUGAAAGCCCUGGGCUUAACCUAGGAAUUGCAUUUCAGACUGGGUAACUAGAGUACUUUAGGGAGGGGUAGAAUUCCACGUGUAGCGGUGAAAUGCGUAGAGAUGUGGAGGAAUACCGAAGGCGAAGGCAGCCCCUUGGGGAUGUACUGACGCUCAUGUGCGAAAGCGUGGGGAGCAAACAGGAUUAGAUACCCUGGUAGUCCACGCUGUAAACGCUGUCGAUUUGGGGGUUGGGGUUUAACUCUGGCGCCCGUAGCUAACGUGAUAAAUCGACCGCCUGGGGAGUACGGCCGCAAGGUUA
This 546-nucleotide ribosomal RNA is filed under the name uncultured bacterium. Its description in RNAcentral is "bacterial SSU rRNA". It matches the Rfam family "Bacterial small subunit ribosomal RNA", at positions 356 to 896 of the family's 1533-position model. The record is from RNAcentral.